Molecule: long non-coding RNA, 917 nt
Filed under: Amphibalanus amphitrite
Lineage: Eukaryota; Metazoa; Arthropoda; Thecostraca; Balanomorpha; Balanidae
Description: uncharacterized LOC122371360, transcript variant X2
Source: RNAcentral
GUGCAGUUUCAAGGAUGGUGGUCGUUGUGUGCCUACAACAGCUUUCAAGUGAAAAAUAAGACAUUAGCAAGUUGUGAUUCACACAAGGCCUGUACUCACUCAGCGCACAAUUAACUGGCGGUCCUAUUGAAGUAAGUUGUGACUCAAGGCCAACCGACGUUUGACUGCAAUUGCUGAUCGAAAGAAGCGUGCCAGAAAAACCCAUCCUGGACGAGUUCGCUGACGUUUCAAGGAGGAGCUGGGCUGCUAUCGAGGCGGGGAAGUCGGCAUCGACGUAGACCCGGACGUCCAGCCUCGUUUCUUCAAGCCUCGCACCGUACCGCUGGCCUUCAGGGAAGCUGUGGACACCGAGCUGGAGGACCAGAUCCGUGGCGGACUCUGGGAACAGAGUGACACCGAUACCUGCUCCUGAUCCGGUCACGGAGAGCGCCGCUGCAUCUGCACGGCAUGCUCCCGUUCCCGGACAACUGGCCUCCACUCCCGACCGGCUGCCGGCUCCUGAUCGAGCGCCUGCUCCUGGCCGGCCGCCUGUUCCGGCGCCGCCCGGGCUGACCGGAGCGGUGCCCGCGCCGGGUGUGACCACCGUCCCGCCGUCCGCACCCUCUCCCAGCGCGCCGCGGUACCGGCUGAGAGACCGGUCCACCCUGCAGCCCCCAGACCGAUACGUGGCGAGCUAUGAGUAGGCGUUUUGUUUCAGUUGUUAUUUGUUCUGUGAGGUGCAUAUUUAUUUGUUUGUCCAUGCUGUGCAAGUAUUCGGGGUGGAGGAGUGUCAUGGAGCUGAGCUGGCGGCCGCCGCGCCGGUGCACGCGUACUUGCGCUCGUGACAUGCGCUCAUGACACUCGUAUGUGAACCGUGGUGGCGUUGCCUCUGUGACCCGGGGGCUACCUGGCCGGCUCGAAUACAGUUUGGACCGAGA